This 468-nucleotide ribosomal RNA is filed under the name uncultured bacterium. Its description in RNAcentral is "partial 16S ribosomal RNA". It matches the Rfam family "Bacterial small subunit ribosomal RNA", at positions 28 to 507 of the family's 1533-position model. The record is from RNAcentral.
GACGAACGCUGGCGGCGUGCUUAACACAUGCAAGUCGAACGGAAAGGCCCUGCUUUUGUGGGGUGCUCGAGUGGCGAACGGGUGAGUAACACGUGAGUAACCUGCCCUUGACUUUGGUAUAACUUCAGGAAACUGGGGCUAAUACCGGAUAGGAUCUCCUGCUGCAUGGUGGGGGUUGGAAAGUUUCGGCGGUUGGGGAUGGACUCGCGGCUUAUCAGCUUGUUGGUGGGGUAGUGGCUUACCAAGGCUUUGACGGGUAGCCGGCCUGAGAGGGUGAACGGCCACAUUGGGACUGAGAUACGGCGCAGAGUCCUACGGGAGGCAGCAGUGGGGAAUAUUGCACAAUGGGAGGAAGCCUGAUGCAGCAACGCCGCGUGCGGGAUGACGGCCUUCGGGUUGUAAACCGCUUUAGCCUGUGACGAAGCGUGAGUGACGGUAAUGGGUAAAGAAGCACCGGCUAACUACGUG